Chenopodium quinoa (quinoa) is the source of this 1572-nucleotide long non-coding RNA. RefSeq lists it as uncharacterized. The transcript has 6 exons. The record is from RefSeq and is a predicted model, not a curated record. NCBI's taxonomy places the organism in Eukaryota, Viridiplantae, Streptophyta, Magnoliopsida, Caryophyllales, Amaranthaceae.
UCUCCCUCUUUCCCCUAUUUUUUCUUUCUCUUUCCUUCUCGUCCUCUCUCUCACUCUCUCCUCUCUCCUCAAUGGCAAAACCAGAUCAAACCACUACUCUCUUUCUCUCUUUGCACCAUUUUUAUUACCUUCACUAACCUCCAUUGUUUCUCAUCAAUGUCAUCUUCUCCUUGCUCUUCCACCUCCUCUUCCUUUGAUGAAUUUGACGACGAUUCUAUUCUCCUAAUUCGAAGAUGGCGAACCCCAGAAACCAAGUAUAUUCUAUUAUUUCCUUUUAAUUGUGCACUUUUGAUUAAUCGAUUUUUAUUUUUCGUGUUUUCCCCUAAUUUUAUUGGUGUUAUAUGUUUUGAUUCUAUCAACUGAGAUCUAGGGUUUCUGGGUUUCUAAUAAGAUGGGUGAUAGAUCUGGGUUAGUUGGGUGGUUUAAGGUGUUUUGGUUCGGAUUAGGUGGGUUUAGGUGAUAAUUUUGGUUAGUUGGGUGGUUUCGGGUUAGGUUGGUUAAGGUGGGUUCGGGUUAGGGUGGGUUAAGGUGGUCGGUUUGGUGUGUGGGUUUGGGUUAGGGACUUAGGGUGGGUCAAGGUGGUCGGUCUAGUGUGUGGGUUCGGUUUGGGGUGGGUUAAGGUUGUGUGUUUGGGUUAAGGUGGUGGAUCUGGUGGGUUUAGGUGGUGCAUGUGGUGGUUAAGGCGGGUUAGUUGGUUAGACGUGGUGGCUGUUCAGUGAAUCAAAAAUUCAAAGUCUCCAUUCCUUUCCCUGUUCUGCCUCGACCUUGAAUAUCUAAAUCGUGAGGUAUUGUCACACUGUCCUUGAAAAGGGUUCAGAAGCUGAGUUUUUUGAAGAGUUGGGUCCUAAAGCUAUGGUUGCUUUUGGUGAUACAAGAAUCCGGCCGUCAAAACCCCAAGGCGGCUUCCGCGGUGGUCCGUAUUGGUGAGCACUACGAAGAUAUGUUGGCUAAUUUACAAAACAUGAAGAUACCCUUCAGUGGUGAAGAAUGCUUCGGACAAUACGUAGAUUUACACGAGUGCCACAACAGCUUUUUACUAGAAUGAAGUUGAGGUUGGGGAGGCACUUGCUGAAGCUAUUCAAGUUGGGCUUGUCAAAAGGGAGGAUCUUUUCAUAACCACUAAGCUGUGGAGCUCUGACCAUGGACAUGUACAUGAAGCGUGCAAAGACAGUUUGAAGCAACUUCGACUUGAUUAUAUAUAUGGAUCUGUACCUAGUUCACUUACCUGUAGCCACAAAGCAUACUGUUUUGGCGCUUCAAAGUCACUGAAAAAGCUGAUACCGAUAAUGUUCUUCUCUUGUGGAUUUCAGAAGAUCAUGUAGGAAUAAUGCAAAAAUUUGUUAAACUAAGAUAUGGGGCUGCUUCUGUGCUGGUGUUCCGCUUCUGUGCUGGCGUGCUGCUCCAUAUAUGCGCUGCUGCUGCUGUUCAUCACUUCUGCUACUGUGUAGCUUCAUAUUUUUUUUACCUUGUAAUUUAUUUUAAAAUUUUAGACAAAAAUAGUAAUAUUACAUCAUUUUUUAUGAAAAUAUGUAACUUUAUAUAUAUAUUAGUGUUUAUUUAUCAAUUUAAGUG